GUCCGGGUGGCGCAGUGGUUAACGCAACUGCCUAGCAAGCAGGAGGUCCCUGGUUUGAAUCCCGGUCUGGCACA
This is a non-coding RNA of Schistocerca americana (American grasshopper), 74 nucleotides long. The record is from the annotation of a RefSeq genome assembly. Lineage: Eukaryota; Metazoa; Arthropoda; Insecta; Orthoptera; Acrididae.